This 2480-nucleotide ribosomal RNA is filed under the name Bifidobacterium breve. RNAcentral describes it as "partial 23S ribosomal RNA". It matches the Rfam family "Bacterial large subunit ribosomal RNA", at positions 398 to 2925 of the family's 2925-position model. The record is from RNAcentral. Lineage: Bacteria; Bacillati; Actinomycetota; Actinomycetes; Bifidobacteriales; Bifidobacteriaceae.
UGUGAACUCGAAGAGUAGGGCGGGACACGUGGUAUCCUGUCUGAAUAUGGGGGGACCAUCCUCCAAGGCUAAAUACUCCUGACUGACCGAUAGUGAACCAGUACCGUGAGGGAAAGGCGAAAAGAACCCCGGCGAGGGGAGUGAAAAAGAACCUGAAACCGUGUACGUACAAGCAGUAGGAGCCCACUGGUUGGGUGACUGCGUACCUUUUGUAUAAUGGGUCAGCGACUUAUAUUCUGUAGCAAGGUUAACCGUAUAGGGGAGCCGCAGGGAAACCGAGUCUUAACUGGGCGUUAAGUUGCAGGGUAUAGACCCGAAACCCGGUGAUCUAGCCAUGGGCAGGUUGAAGGUUGGGUAACACUAACUGGAGGACCGAACCGACUAAUGUUGAAAAAUUAGCGGAUGACUUGUGGCUGGGGGUGAAAGGCCAAUCAAACCGGGAGAUAGCUGGUUCUCCCCGAAAGCUAUUUAGGUAGCGCCUCGUGAAUUCAUCUUCGGGGGUAGAGCACUGUUUCGGCUAGGGGGUCAUCCCGACUUACCAACCCGAUGCAAACUACGAAUACCGAAGAAUGUUAUCACGGGAGACACACGGCGGGUGCUAACGUCCGUCGUGAAGAGGGAAACAACCCAGACCGCCAGCUAAGGUCCCAAAGUCAUGGUUAAGUGGGAAACGAUGUGGGAAGGCCCAGACAGCCAGGAUGUUGGCUUAGAAGCAGCCAUCAUUUAAAGAAAGCGUAAUAGCUCACUGGUCGAGUCGGCCUGCGCGGAAGAUGUAACGGGGCUAAACCAUGCACCGAAGCUGCGGCAGCGACACUAUGUGUUGUUGGGUAGGGGAGCGUUCUGUAAGCCGUUGAAGGUGGCCUGUGAGGGUUGCUGGAGGUAUCAGAAGUGCGAAUGCUGACAUAAGUAACGAUAAUGCGGGUGAAAAACCCGCACGCCGGAAGACCAAGGGUUCCUGUCCAACGUUAAUCGGGGCAGGGUGAGUCGACCCCUAAGGCGAGGCCGAAAGGCGUAGUCGAUGGGAAACAGGUUAAUAUUCCUGUACUCGGUGUUACUGCGAAGGGGGGACGGAGAAGGCUAUGUUGGCCGGGCGACGGUUGUCCCGGUUUAAGCAUGUAGGCGGAUGUUCCAGGUAAAUCCGGAACGUCACUAACGCUGAGGUGUGAUGACGAGGCACUACGGUGCUGAAGUGACAAAUGCCCUGCUUCCAGGAAAAGCCUCUAAGCAUCAGGUAACAUCAAAUCGUACCCCAAACCGACACAGGUGGUCAGGUAGAGAAUACCAAGGCGCUUGAGAGAACUCGGGUGAAGGAACUAGGCAAAAUGGUGCCGUAACUUCGGGAGAAGGCACGCUGAUGGUAACACAGCACUGUGCAAACACGAAAGUGGACGUAUACGGUGUGACGCCUGCCCGGUGCCGGAAGGUUAAUUGAUGGGGUUAUCCUCGCGGAGAAGCUCUUGAUCGAAGCCCCGGUAAACGGCGGCCGUAACUAUAACGGUCCUAAGGUAGCGAAAUUCCUUGUCGGGUAAGUUCCGACCUGCACGAAUGGCGUAAUGAUGGCCAGGCUGUCUCCACCCGAGACUCAGUGAAAUUGAACUCGCUGUGAAGAUGCAGUGUACCCGCGGCAAGACGGAAAGACCCCGUGAACCUUUACUAUAGCUUGACACUGAACACUGGUCCUUGAUGUGUAGGAUAGGUGGGAGGCUUUGAAGUGUGGACGCCAGUCUGCAUGGAGCCAUCCUUGAAAUACCACCCUUUAAUGGCUGGUGUUCUAACGUGGGCCCGUAAUCCGGGUUGCGGACAGUGUCUGGUGGGUAGUUUGACUGGGGCGGUCUCCUCCUAAAGAGUAACGGAGGAGCACGAAGGUCAGCUAAUCCUGGUCGGACAUCAGGAGGUUAGUGCAAUGGCAUAAGCUGGCUUGACUGCGAGCGUGACGGCGCGAGCAGGUGCGAAAGCAGGUCAUAGUGAUCCGGUGGUUCUGAAUGGAAGGGCCAUCGCUCAACGGAUAAAAGGUACUCCGGGGAUAACAGGCUGAUACCGCCCAAGAGUUCAUAUCGACGGCGGUGUUUGGCACCUCGAUGUCGGCUCAUCACAUCCUGGGGCUGAAGUAGGUCCCAAGGGUAUGGCUGUUCGCCAUUUAAAGUGGUACGCGAGCUGGGUUUAGAACGUCGUGAGACAGUUCGGUCCCUAUCUGCCGUGGGCGCUGGAGAAUUGAGGGGGGCUGCUCCUAGUACGAGAGGACCGGAGUGGACGCAUCACUGGUGUUCGGGUUGUCAUGCCAAUGGCAUUGCCCGGUAGCUAAAUGCGGAAGAGAUAAGUGCUGAAAGCAUCUAAGCACGAAACUUGCCCCGAGAUGAGUUCUCCCUGACCCUUUAAGGGUCCUGAAGGAACGUUGAAGACGACGACGUUGAUAGGCCGGGUGUGUAAGCGCAGCGAUGCGUUGAGCUAACCGGUACUAAUGAACCGUGAGGCUUAACCUU